GACGAACGCUGGCGGCGUGCUUAACACAUGCAAGUCGAGCGAGGACAUUUAGCAAUAGAUGUUCGAGCGGCGGACGGGUGAGUAACGCGUGAGCAAUCUGUCCCAGACAGGGGAAUAACAGAUGGAAACAUCUGCUAAUACCGCAUAAGACCACGACCUGACAUCGGGUUGGGUAAAAGGUGAAAGCCGGUUUGGGGUGAGCUCGCGUCCGAUUAGCUAGUUGGCGGGUAACGCCCACCAAGGCGACGAUCGGUAGCCGACCUGAGAGGGUGAUCGGCCACACUGGAACUGAGAGACGGUCCAGACUCCUACGGGAGGCAGCAGUGGGGAAUAUUGGGCAAUGGGGGAAACCCUGACCCAGCAACGCCGCGUGAGGGAAGAAGGUUUUCGGAUUGUAAACCUCUGUCCUUGGUGAAGAACAAAUGACGGUAGCCAAGGAGGAAGCCCCGGCUAACUACGUGCCAGCAGCCGCGGUAAU
This 478-nucleotide ribosomal RNA is filed under the name uncultured bacterium. Its description in RNAcentral is "bacterial SSU rRNA". It matches the Rfam family "Bacterial small subunit ribosomal RNA", at positions 28 to 524 of the family's 1533-position model. The record is from RNAcentral.